RNAcentral lists this ribosomal RNA (250 nucleotides) under uncultured bacterium. RNAcentral's name for it is "partial small subunit ribosomal RNA". It matches the Rfam family "Bacterial small subunit ribosomal RNA", at positions 26 to 287 of the family's 1533-position model. The record is from RNAcentral.
AGGACGAACGCUGGCGGCGUGCUUAACACAUGCAAGUCACGGGGGCCCGCAAGGGCAACCGGCGAACGGGUGCGUAACACGUGAGCAACCUGCCGAUCUGUGGGGGAUAGCCGGGCUAACGCCCGGGUAAUACCGCAUACGGUCAUUUAGGGGAGUCCCUGAAUGAAGAAACCUCCGGGGCAGAUCGAGGGGCUCGCGGCCUAUCAGCUAGUUGGGGGGGUAAUGGCCCACCAAGGCGACGACGGGUAGC